RNAcentral lists this ribosomal RNA (135 nucleotides) under uncultured bacterium. RNAcentral's name for it is "partial 16S ribosomal RNA". The record is from RNAcentral.
CACAUAGUUAGCCGCAGCUUCUUCUGCAGGUACCGUCAUUAUCGUCCCUGCCGAAAGAGCUUUACACCCCGAAGGGCUUCAUCGCUCACGCGGCGUCGCUGCAUCAGGGUUUCCCCCAUUGUGCAAGAUUCCCCA